AUACAACUGGAGUGCUGCAGAGGGGAGGGAUUGAACAACCUGAUUCCUAAACAAAUUGGCAAAAGACCUGAAUUCUGGAAAAUUACUGACCAAAAGACAAUGGCCUCACAAUACUAUAAAUAGCAAUCCCAAGCAAGAACUCUUUGAGCUCUCCAGGGACCACAGAAGA
Molecule: long non-coding RNA, 169 nt
Organism: Oxyura jamaicensis (ruddy duck)
Lineage: Eukaryota; Metazoa; Chordata; Aves; Anseriformes; Anatidae
Exons: 3
Source: RefSeq, a predicted model, not a curated record